AGGGUUAUAGUUAACUAUAACAUUCGGGUUGCAUUCGAAAAAUAUUGAGUAAUUCAAUUAACCUUA
RNAcentral lists this transfer RNA (66 nucleotides) under Euchorthippus unicolor. Its description in RNAcentral is "tRNA-Ala". RNAcentral also lists the same sequence under 2 other names. The record is from RNAcentral. Lineage: Eukaryota; Metazoa; Arthropoda; Insecta; Orthoptera; Acrididae.